UUCCAUGUGGCUGUCCUCCCCAGGUCAACAGUGACAGGACCGGACACUACACUGUGAGAGAGAGAACAAAAUUGGGUUAAAAGCUUUAAAAACAAUUAGAAAACAAACGUCUUCCAUCAGACGUAUACAUGAAUCAGUUCCACGUUGACGCUAAACGCCUACAGAAGAACCUGGAGAUCAACCCACCAACCCUGGAUUUAACAACACCACCUAAACUAAACUACGUCCAUUCACUUUAUAUGGAAGAAGAAGGUAAGUACAAGCAUCUGACGUGAAGAACGUGACUUAGAAUAUGCUCUAAUAUAGAGACAGAGAAAGUAAUGUAUGUUAUUGUGUAACCCUGUUUGUCUAUAAAGUAUAAUAAUUCAAAGAUUACUAAAUAUAUGUUUGCCUUUAUUUCCUCUUCUCUCACUCCACCACCUGAGCUGCUGCUGUUCACUCCGGAUGAAAAAGAUGAUUAUGAGCUUUUUAAUAUAAAUUAGAGAAAGCAAUAUGUGUUAUAACUUGUUUGACUUAUCAACUAAUAUUAAAUGAACAAAGAUUUCUUGUCUUACUGACCUUUUUAUUUAUCUUAACUUGAAAUUACUCAACCACCUGAGAUACUGUUGUUCACUACGGACCGAAAAGGUUAGUGUGAGCGUCUGACAUGUGAAGAAAGAGACUUAAAAUAGGUUGUAAUAUGAAGACUAUGAGAUUGUGUAAACUAGCUACAUACUGUAUGUAUUAUUAUUUAGAAGUUCAGAGAUGAUUUGUCUUUCUUACUCAUCAUUAUCUAUUGUUCUCUACUCUUAUCUUCCUCCACCACCUGAGCUGCUGCUGUUCACUGUGGACAAAAAGGGGAGUAUGAUCUGGAAUAAACUACUUUAUUAUAGACUGAGUGUUCCUGUAGUUCAGCGGCUCCUUUACGACAAAGAAGAAAUGCUGAUUCCCGACUGAAUCAGAUGGAUGACGGAUCACAAGACGGACAGAACAGAAGUGAACGACUCUGUUUUCGUGGACUCAGGCAGGACUCUUCCUGGAGCCCCUGAGAGUGGACGUCAACCGAACCACACAAAGCCAGUAGUAGCAUCACACAAGCAGUCAUGAUGUGAGGAAGCUCCAGCACCACAGCAGUCCACUCAACACACUGAACCGCCUUCAGCUCCACACUUUACACACUCGGACUGAUCUCAUGUUCAAUUCAGUCAAAUAAAAACAAAAACUCAGACAUGUAAAA
Molecule: long non-coding RNA, 1216 nt
Organism: Sebastes umbrosus (honeycomb rockfish)
Lineage: Eukaryota; Metazoa; Chordata; Actinopteri; Perciformes; Sebastidae
Exons: 3
Source: RefSeq, a predicted model, not a curated record